AAAAACAUGAGUUUGAUCCUGGCUCGGAACGAAUGUUGGUUAUAUGCUUAGAAAAUGCAAGUUGAAUGUGGCUUGCUUCCCCAUCCAUCCAUGUGGGGGCAGAAGGGAAAGAGGAAUGACCCCCUCCUAGCACUUUCUCACUCACUCAAAUGAUAUGCAAGUGGUGCUUCAGGCAUGGGGCACAACAAGAAAAGUGGAAAAUGGGUGUGUAACGUGUGGGAAUCUAUUGAACAAUUCACUCCAAAUCCUUAAUAAUUCAUAAAGCAAGCUAAUUUGCGUUGUUUGACGAGCCUGCGUAGUAUCAGGUAGUUUUUUAGGUAAAGGCUGACCAAUCCAAUGAUGCUUGGUUGGUCAUUUCAGAUGAUCAGCCACACUGGGAUUGAGACACAGACCAGAAUCCCUCGGGGGGAAGUAGUGGGGAAUAUUGGACAAUGGUCUCAUGCCCGAUCUAACAAUAUCACGUGGGUGAAGAAGGGCAUUGUCACUUGUCAAGAUAUUUCAUUGAGUUUCGAUCAUGACAAGACUUGAGGAAGAAUCCUUGGCUAACUCCAUGCUAGAAGCCAUGAUAAUAUAGGGGGGAAGUUCUAUUCGAAGUGACUGGGCGUAAAGGGCACGUAGGCGGUGAAAAGGGUGGAAAGUGAAAGUCACCAAAGCACCAACUGGGUUCUUUCUUGACCAUUUCACUUGAGUGAGAUAAGGGAGAGUGGAAUUUCAUGUGGAGGGAUCAAAUCCUAAUAUAUACAAAGGAACACCAACUCCGAAGGUAGCUCUCUGGGUCCCCACUGACGCUGGGGUGCAAAAGCAUGGGGAGAAAACAUGAUUAGAUACCCUAGUAGUCUAUGUCGUAAGCGAUGAGUGUUAAUCCUUGGUCUUCCUUCCUACUAGGUAGGAUUAGGAUCAGGGGCCCAACUAACAUGUGAAACACUCCAUCUGGGGAGUAUAGUCACAAGACUGAAACUCAAAGGAAUUGACGGGGGCCUGCACAAGUGGUGGAGCAUGUGGUUUAAUUCAAUAAAAUGCAUAGAACCUUACCAGCCCUUGACAUAUGAACAAUUGUGCCUGUCCCUAAUGGGAUGGUGUGAAAAAUCAUACAGGUGUUGCAUGGCUAUCGUCAGCUCAUGUCGUGAGAUGUUUGAUUAAGUCUUAUAAUGAGAAAAACCCUUGUUUUUUGUUGCUGAGACAUGUGCCAAUGGAUCAAUGUCAUCGCCCCUUAUCAAUGAAUUAAUAGGGCAAGGUAAGUGCCUCUUUUUUAUUGAUGACACUCCUAUGAAGGAAGGUGCAUGCUGAACUCACAAGAGACUGCCAGUGAUAUGUUGGAGGAAGGUGGGGAUGAUGUCAAGUCUGCAUGGCCCUUAUGGGUUGGGCCACACACAUGCCACAAUGGAAAUGACAAUGGGAAGCAAGGUCAUAAGGAAGAGUGAAUCGGGAAAGAUUGCCUCAGUUCAAAUUGUUUUCUGCAAAUUGAGAACAUGAAGUUGGAAUCUCUAGUAUUCGUAGAUCAGCAUGCCAUGGUGAAUAUGUACCUGAUCCCUGUACACACCAUCCAUCACACCCUAGGAGUUGAUUUCACCCGAAGCAUUAGACCAAUGAUCACCCUAUCUAUAUAUGUUCCACUAGUGUAUCCCACGAAGGUUGGGAUGAUAUUAUUGGGGCAUACCAUGGUGGGGUCUUGGACUGGGGUGAAGUCAUAACAAGGUAGUCAUAGGGGAACUUGUGGCUAGAUAGAAUCCCUU
Molecule: non-coding RNA, 1733 nt
Organism: Picea glauca (white spruce)
Lineage: Eukaryota; Viridiplantae; Streptophyta; Pinopsida; Pinales; Pinaceae
Source: Rfam